GCGCAGCAGCAGAUGUUGGUUGUAUGAGACGACAGGUAAGCUUGACCCUCAGGACAUUUAUCCAGAUGAAGGUCUGCUCUGCAGCUUUGACCUUUUGGUGGAGUUUUUGAGACAUUUUCCUCAUAUUUUGAAGAGCAGAGAUGUUCUUAUCUUC
Long non-coding RNA from Thalassophryne amazonica, 154 nucleotides. RefSeq lists it as uncharacterized. The record is from RefSeq and is a predicted model, not a curated record. The transcript is spliced from 3 exons. NCBI's taxonomy places the organism in Eukaryota, Metazoa, Chordata, Actinopteri, Batrachoidiformes, Batrachoididae.